Long non-coding RNA from Vidua chalybeata, 307 nucleotides. RefSeq lists it as uncharacterized. NCBI's taxonomy places the organism in Eukaryota, Metazoa, Chordata, Aves, Passeriformes, Viduidae. The record is from RefSeq and is a predicted model, not a curated record. The transcript has 2 exons.
GUUUAUUCUGGUGCAACAGAGGGACAAACCCACAGCUUCAAGAUGUCAGACAUUUUCCCAGAACCAAGGCAGAAAAUGAAGAUGGUUUGGGUGCUGGGGCAGAGCCACAGGCAUCCAUGGACUGAGGAGCCCUGCACUAAAUUGCAAGCUAUGCCUCCAGUUGGUCACAGCCUGGGGAAAACCACUCAUAUCCGGAUCCACAAAAUUACUUUGGCACCAGAGCACUACUGCUUUGAAGGCUUCAAGCAACUUUUUCACCUCGCAGAAAAAUGAGUCUGUUCCCUAAAUUAAAGUGGUGGCCCCGUUC